Molecule: ribosomal RNA, 439 nt
Filed under: uncultured bacterium
Lineage: Bacteria
Description: partial 16S ribosomal RNA
Rfam family: Bacterial small subunit ribosomal RNA
Source: RNAcentral
ACUACGGUGGGCAGCAGUGGGGCAUAUUGCACAAUGGGCGAAAGCCUGAUGCAGCAACGCCGCGUGAGCGAUGCAGGCCUUCUGGUCGUAAAGCUCUGUCCUCAAGGAAGAUAAUGACGGUACUUGAGGAGGAAGCCCCGGCUAACUACGUUCCAGCAGCCGCGGUAAUACGUAGGGGGCUAGCGUUAUCCGGAAUUCCUGGGCGUAAAGGUUGCGUAGGUUGUUUCUUAAGUCAGAGGUGAAAGGCUACGGCUAAACCGUAGUAAGCCUUUGACACGGGGGAACUUGAGUGCAGGAGAGGAGAGUGGAAUUCCUAGUGUAGCGGUGAAAUGCGUAGAUAGUAGGAGGAACACCAGUUGCGAAGGCGGCUCUCUGGACUGUAACUGACACUGAGGCACGAAAGCGUGGGGAGCAAACAGGAUUAGAUACCCUAGUAGUC